Molecule: ribosomal RNA, 253 nt
Filed under: uncultured bacterium
Lineage: Bacteria
Description: partial 16S ribosomal RNA
Rfam family: Bacterial small subunit ribosomal RNA
Source: RNAcentral
UACGUAGGGACCAAGCGUUGUCCGGAAUCAUUGGGCGUAAAGAGCGUGUAGGCGGCCACUUAAGUCCUGCGUGAAAUCUUGCGGCUCAACCGCAAGCGGUCGUGGGAAACUGGGUGGCUAGAGUGCGGGAGAGGAGAGUGGAAUUCCUGGUGUAGCGGUGGAAUGCGCAGAUAUCAGGAGGAACAUCCGUGGCGAAGGCGGCUCUCUGGGACGGUACUGACGCUGAGACGCGAAAGCGUGGGGAGCGAACAGG